This 769-nucleotide ribosomal RNA is filed under the name Staphylococcus xylosus. Its description in RNAcentral is "bacterial SSU rRNA". It matches the Rfam family "Bacterial small subunit ribosomal RNA", at positions 59 to 812 of the family's 1533-position model. The record is from RNAcentral. Lineage: Bacteria; Bacillati; Bacillota; Bacilli; Caryophanales; Staphylococcaceae.
CAGUCGAGCGAACGGAUAAGGAGCUUGCUCCUUUGAAGUUAGCGGCGGACGGGUGAGUAACACGUGGGUAACCUACCUAUAAGACUGGGAUAACUUCGGGAAACCGGAGCUAAUACCGGAUAACAUUUAGAACCGCAUGGUUCUAAAGUGAAAGAUGGUUUUGCUAUCACUUAUAGAUGGACCCGCGCCGUAUUAGCUAGUUGGUAAGGUAACGGCUUACCAAGGCGACGAUACGUAGCCGACCUGAGAGGGUGAUCGGCCACACUGGAACUGAGACACGGUCCAGACUCCUACGGGAGGCAGCAGUAGGGAAUCUUCCGCAAUGGGCGAAAGCCUGACGGAGCAACGCCGCGUGAGUGAUGAAGGGUUUCGGCUCGUAAAACUCUGUUAUUAGGGAAGAACAAAUGUGUAAGUAACUGUGCACAUCUUGACGGUACCUAAUCAGAAAGCCACGGCUAACUACGUGCCAGCAGCCGCGGUAAUACGUAGGUGGCAAGCGUUAUCCGGAAUUAUUGGGCGUAAAGCGCGCGUAGGCGGUUUCUUAAGUCUGAUGUGAAAGCCCACGGCUCAACCGUGGAGGGUCAUUGGAAACUGGGAAACUUGAGUGCAGAAGAGGAAAGUGGAAUUCCAUGUGUAGCGGUGAAAUGCGCAGAGAUAUGGAGGAACACCAGUGGCGAAAGCGACUUUCUGGUCUGUAACUGACGCUGAUGUGCGAAAGCGUGGGGAUCAAACAGAUUAGAUACGCCUGGUAGUCCACGCGUAACGAUGA